ACAGAGUGAGGUGUACAGAGUGAGGUGUACAGAGUAAGGUGUACAGAGUAAGGUGUACAGAGAGAGGUGUACAGAGAGAGGUGUACAGAGUAAGGUGUACAGAGAGAGGUGUACAGAGAGAGGUGUACAGAGAGAGGUGUACAGAGUGAGG
This is a long non-coding RNA of Oncorhynchus keta (chum salmon), 151 nucleotides long. RefSeq lists it as uncharacterized. Lineage: Eukaryota; Metazoa; Chordata; Actinopteri; Salmoniformes; Salmonidae. The record is from RefSeq and is a predicted model, not a curated record. The transcript has 3 exons.